Molecule: ribosomal RNA, 708 nt
Filed under: Trigonotis jinfoshanica
Lineage: Eukaryota; Viridiplantae; Streptophyta; Magnoliopsida; Boraginales; Boraginaceae
Description: eukaryotic LSU rRNA
Rfam family: 5.8S ribosomal RNA (bases 280-435)
Source: RNAcentral
GUCGUAACAAGGUUUCCGUAGGUGAACCUGCGGAAGGAUCAUUGUCGAAUCCUGCAAAGCAGUACCACUCGCGAACAAGUUCACAACCGCAGGAACUAAUCGAGUGUAUGGAUUUCAUUGCACUUGAUUGUUUCCUGACGGCUCUCGGGCAUUUUGCCCUUGCGCUAAACAAACCCCCGGCGCGAGAAGCGCCAAGGAAUACUAUAAUAAGAGCUAGAUCCAUCCUCUCCCGUUUGCGGGGACUAGGGGAUUGGGGACGGCUUCUUUCAUAAUCUAAACGACUCUCGGCAACGGAUAUCUCGGCUCUCGCAUCGAUGAAGAACGUAGCGAAAUGCGAUACUUGGUGUGAAUUGCAGAAUCCCGUGAACCAUCGAGUCUUUGAACGCAAGUUGCGCCUGAAGCCAUUAGGCCAAGGGCACGUCUGCCUGGGCGUCACGCAUCGCGUCACCCCUCCUCCAAAUUUGGUGGAUGGGGUGGAAUGUGACCUCCUGUGCCUCUAGGUGUAGUUGGUCGAAAUUUGAGUCCGGAAUUUAGGAUUUCACGGCAAGUGGUGGUUGGACAAACAACUCGCGUGCUGUCGUGUGCCAAACCUUCCGUGGCUGGAAAAACCCUAAGGCAUGUGUUACUCUCCACUUUGUGGGGAUGAACUUGUGCUACGACCGCGACCCCAGGUCAGGCGGGAUUACCCGCUGAAUUUAAGCAUAUCAA